GUGUGGGUCAUUCCAGCUCAUAACACCUCAGCUAUAAUUCUUCAUUCUAUCAGUGACUCCUUUUGUCACCUUGAUGAAAUCACUGAAACUUCUGUUUCCCCUUUGUAAAAUAGGAGGGUGGGCUUCCAAUAAAGCCAAACCACCUGGGACAGGGCAAGAGAAAACAGCCUGUGCUCAUUAUCUAGGAUUUCUCAGAGGCCAAGAUCUGCACUCUGACUCCUGAAGCCAUUUUAGGUGUGGGCAUUUCACAGCUAUUCUCUGUUUACCUUGCUCUGAGGAUACCAGAUGACUUACCAAAAGGCAAUGGACAGCAACUCCACCUGCAACUCUAUCAAUAAACUGUUCUAGUCAAAUUAAAACCAAUAACCCCAGAAUGCCUCACCAGAAAAUCUUUUCUGCUUUACUUACAGAAAACUGUUUGGAAGAACUACUAAACAGAACCUUUUUCCUCUAAGUUUUGCAUUUCCAAAAUUUUAUUACCUAUUGUCCUAAAUAAGUGACUUUGUUGUAGAAGUAGGAAUAGAUUUUUUUUUUUUUCAACCCUGAUGUAAGAUAUUUGGUCUCUCUUGUGCUUCACAGGAAAUUCCCAAUUUUUAAUAAAAAGAGCUUACUUAUGCUUAA
Molecule: long non-coding RNA, 621 nt
Organism: Anas platyrhynchos (mallard)
Lineage: Eukaryota; Metazoa; Chordata; Aves; Anseriformes; Anatidae
Source: RefSeq, a predicted model, not a curated record